AACGAACGCUGGCGGCAUGCCUAACACAUGCAAGUCGAACGAACCCUUCGGGGUUAGUGGCGCACGGGUGCGUAACGCGUGGGAACCUGCCUUUUGGUUCGGAAUAACAGUGAGAAAUUACUGCUAAUACCGGAUAAUGUCUUCGGACCAAAGAUUUAUCGCCAUUAGAUGGGCCCGCGUAAGAUUAGCUAGUUGGUGGGGUAAAGGCCUACCAAGGCGACGAUCUUUAGCUGGUCUGAGAGGAUGAUCAGCCACACUGGGACUGAGACACGGCCCAGACUCCUACGGGAGGCAGCAGUGGGGAAUAUUGGACAAUGGGCGAAAGCCUGAUCCAGCAAUGCCGCGUGAGUGAUGAAGGCCUUAGGGUUGUAAAGCUCUUUUACCCGAGAUGAUAAUGACAGUAUCGGGAGAAUAAGCUCCGGCUAAACUCCGUGCCAGCAGCCGCGGUAAU
RNAcentral lists this ribosomal RNA (451 nucleotides) under uncultured bacterium. RNAcentral's name for it is "bacterial SSU rRNA". It matches the Rfam family "Bacterial small subunit ribosomal RNA", at positions 29 to 524 of the family's 1533-position model. The record is from RNAcentral.